UAGGGAAUCUUCGGCAAUGGACGGAAGUCUGACCGAGCAACGCCGCGUGAGUGAAGAAGGUUUUCGGAUCGUAAAGCUCUGUUGUAAGAGAAGAACGAGUGUGAGAGUGGAAAGUUCACACUGUGACGGUAUCUUACCAGAAAGGGACGGCUAACUACGUGCCAGCAGCCGCGGUAAUACGUAGGUCCCGAGCGUUGUCCGGAUUUAUUGGGCGUAAAGCGAGCGCAGGCGGUUAGAUAAGUCUGAAGUUAAAGGCUGUGGCUUAACCAUAGUAGGCUUUGGAANNUGUUUAACUUGAGUGCAAGAGGGGAGAGUGGAAUUCCAUGUGUAGCGGUGAAAUGCGUAGAUAUAUGGAGGAACACCGGUGGCGAAAGCGGCUCUCUGGCUUGUAACUGACGCUGAGGCUCGAAAGCGUGGGGAGCAAACAGGAUUAGAUACCCUGGUAGUCCACGCCGUAACGAUGAGUGCUAGGUGUUAGACCCUUUCCGGGGUUUAGUGCCGUAGCUAACGCAUUAAGCACUCCGCCUGGGGAGUACGACCGCAAGGUU
This 548-nucleotide ribosomal RNA is filed under the name uncultured bacterium. RNAcentral's name for it is "bacterial SSU rRNA". It matches the Rfam family "Bacterial small subunit ribosomal RNA", at positions 355 to 895 of the family's 1533-position model. The record is from RNAcentral.